UAAAGGGGAGCUGAAUCAUCAUCCAUUUUGAAGCUAACUUGUUGGUAUUCGCUAUUGGAUUAGCACUGAUUUCUUGACAUAUUUGUGGAUCGAUUCCGACCUAAUUUUCAGAAAAAUGGGUGGUUGUGCUGCACCAAAUUGUUCGAAUCAGUCUAAAAAUAACUUUAGGAUGUUUCGUUUCCCUAGAAAUGAAGAAAGACGAAGAAAAUGGAUAGUUAAUUCUCGUCGAGAUCAAUGGAUCCCGGGCCCAGGAGCGUAUCUUUGUGAGGUACAUUUUGAAGAAAAUCAAUUUGAAUGCUCUAGGCAAGAUGGGCGUAAAAAACUCAAGCCCAAUGCUGUGCCAACUCUUUUCAAUGUGCCUAAUCCCCCACAACUGUUGACCCCACAGCGUCUAAAAGGCAUUGGUUUACCAAAGCACCGUUCAGUUACAUCCAAUUUUUGUAAUGGUGGCUUGCUGCACGGUUUACCUUUAUCAACUGAAGCGAUUUCUGUUGCUGAACCAUCUGUUGUUCAUUUGCCACAACCUUCAGCUUCAUAUUUUGGAGAAAUAAAUUUUGCUGCCGAAGUAUCUGAUGUAAAUUGCCAUUUUGCACUUCUAAAAAAUUUUAAUAGUUUUUUAACAUCUAUUCGUAAACUGUACUAUGUUUUUUUAAAUGUUUCCAUCUUCAUAAUCAUGCACUUUAUUUCAUUUCACCAGUGGUUGCAAAUGUGUACAUUACAGUACAUCUCAGGUUUGUUUGCAAGAACAAGCUUCAACUUCAUCUUGUGAUAAAAUGCCAUCUAUUUGUGAAGGAUCUCAUGUUUGUUUGCAAGAACAGCCUUUAGCCUCAUUUUGCAAUGAAAUACCAUCUAUUUGUGAAGGCUCUGAUGAUGUUCUUUUAAGGAAUUUUAUAAAACAGCAGACUGAAUUGAUCUCGCUUCUGCAAUGCCAGAACAAAAUA
RNAcentral lists this unclassified non-coding RNA (941 nucleotides) under Stegodyphus dumicola. RNAcentral's name for it is "peroxynitrite isomerase THAP4-like, transcript variant X2". Lineage: Eukaryota; Metazoa; Arthropoda; Arachnida; Araneae; Eresidae. The record is from RNAcentral.